GACGAACGCGGCGGCGUGCCUAAUACAUGCAAGUAGAACGCUGAAGGGAGGAGCUUGCUCUUCUUGGAUGAGUUGCGAACGGGUGAGUAACGCGUAGGUAACCUGCCUUGUAGCGGGGGAUAACUAUUGGAAACGAUAGCUAAUACCGCAUAACAAUGGAUGACCCAUGUCAUUUAUUUGAAAGGGGCAAAUGCUCCACUACAAGAUGGACCUGCGUUGUAUUAGCUAGUAGGUGAGGUAACGGCUCACCUAGGCGACGAUACAUAGCCGACCUGAGAGGGUGAUCGGCCACACUGGGACUGAGACACGGCCCAGACUCCUACGGGAGGCAGCAGUAGGGAAUCUUCGGCAAUGGGGGCAACCCUGACCGAGCAACGCCGCGUGAGUGAAGAAGGUUUUCGGAUCGUAAGGCUCUGUUGUAAGUCAAGAACGAGUGUGAGAGUGGAAAAGUUCACAACUGUGACGGUAGCUACC
This 474-nucleotide ribosomal RNA is filed under the name Streptococcus salivarius. Its description in RNAcentral is "bacterial SSU rRNA". It matches the Rfam family "Bacterial small subunit ribosomal RNA", at positions 28 to 483 of the family's 1533-position model. The record is from RNAcentral. Lineage: Bacteria; Bacillati; Bacillota; Bacilli; Lactobacillales; Streptococcaceae.